Molecule: ribosomal RNA, 2901 nt
Filed under: Klebsiella pneumoniae
Lineage: Bacteria; Pseudomonadati; Pseudomonadota; Gammaproteobacteria; Enterobacterales; Enterobacteriaceae
Also listed under: 1 other name
Description: bacterial LSU rRNA
Rfam family: Bacterial large subunit ribosomal RNA
Source: RNAcentral
UUAAGCGACUAAGCGUACACGGUGGAUGCCCUGGCAGUCAGAGGCGAUGAAGGACGUGCUAAUCUGCGAAAAGCGUCGGUAAGGUGAUAUGAACCGUUACAGCCGGCGAUGUCCGAAUGGGGAAACCCAGUGUGAUUCGUCACACUAUCGUUAACUGAAUACAUAGGUUAACGAGGCGAACCGGGGGAACUGAAACAUCUAAGUACCCCGAGGAAAAGAAAUCAACCGAGAUUCCCCCAGUAGCGGCGAGCGAACGGGGAGCAGCCCAGAGUCUGAAUCAGCUUGUGUGUUAGUGGAACGGUCUGGAAAGUCCGACGGUACAGGGUGAUAGUCCCGUACACCAAAAUGCACAGGCUGUGAACUCGAAGAGUAGGGCGGGACACGUGGUAUCCUGUCUGAAUAUGGGGGGACCAUCCUCCAAGGCUAAAUACUCCUGACUGACCGAUAGUGAACCAGUACCGUGAGGGAAAGGCGAAAAGAACCCCGGCGAGGGGAGUGAAAAAGAACCUGAAACCGUGUACGUACAAGCAGUGGGAGCACCUUUAUGGUGUGACUGCGUACCUUUUGUAUAAUGGGUCAGCGACUUAUAUUCUGUAGCAAGGUUAACCGUAUAGGGGAGCCGCAGGGAAACCGAGUCUUAACUGGGCGUUAAGUUGCAGGGUAUAGACCCGAAACCCGGUGAUCUAGCCAUGGGCAGGUUGAAGGUUGGGUAACACUAACUGGAGGACCGAACCGACUAAUGUUGAAAAAUUAGCGGAUGACUUGUGGCUGGGGGUGAAAGGCCAAUCAAACCGGGAGAUAGCUGGUUCUCCCCGAAAGCUAUUUAGGUAGCGCCUCGUGAAUUCAUCUUCGGGGGUAGAGCACUGUUUCGGCUAGGGGGUCAUCCCGACUUACCAACCCGAUGCAAACUACGAAUACCGAAGAAUGUUAUCACGGGAGACACACGGCGGGUGCUAACGUCCGUCGUGAAGAGGGAAACAACCCAGACCGCCAGCUAAGGUCCCAAAGUCAUGGUUAAGUGGGAAACGAUGUGGGAAGGCACAGACAGCCAGGAUGUUGGCUUAGAAGCAGCCAUCAUUUAAAGAAAGCGUAAUAGCUCACUGGUCGAGUCGGCCUGCGCGGAAGAUGUAACGGGGCUAAACCAUGCACCGAAGCUGCGGCAGCGACACGAUGUGUUGUUGGGUAGGGGAGCGUUCUGUAAGCCUGCGAAGGUGACCUGUGAGGGUUGCUGGAGGUAUCAGAAGUGCGAAUGCUGACAUAAGUAACGAUAAAGCGGGUGAAAAGCCCGCUCGCCGGAAGACCAAGGGUUCCUGUCCAACGUUAAUCGGGGCAGGGUGAGUCGACCCCUAAGGCGAGGCCGAAAGGCGUAGUCGAUGGGAAACAGGUUAAUAUUCCUGUACUUGGUGUUACUGCGAAGGGGGGACGGAGAAGGCUAUGUUAGCCGGGCGACGGUUGUCCCGGUUUAAGCAUGUAGGCUGGUUAUCCAGGCAAAUCCGGAUAAUCAAGGCUGAGGUGUGAUGACGAGGCACUACGGUGCUGAAGUAACAAAUGCCCUGCUUCCAGGAAAAGCCUCUAAGCAUCAGGUAACACGAAAUCGUACCCCAAACCGACACAGGUGGUCAGGUAGAGAAUACCAAGGCGCUUGAGAGAACUCGGGUGAAGGAACUAGGCAAAAUGGUGCCGUAACUUCGGGAGAAGGCACGCUGGUGUGUAGGUGAAGUCCCUGCGGAUGGAGCUGAGACCAGUCGAAGAUACCAGCUGGCUGCAACUGUUUAUUAAAAACACAGCACUGUGCAAACACGAAAGUGGACGUAUACGGUGUGACGCCUGCCCGGUGCCGGAAGGUUAAUUGAUGGGGUUAUCCGUAAGGAGAAGCUCUUGAUCGAAGCCCCGGUAAACGGCGGCCGUAACUAUAACGGUCCUAAGGUAGCGAAAUUCCUUGUCGGGUAAGUUCCGACCUGCACGAAUGGCGUAAUGAUGGCCAGGCUGUCUCCACCCGAGACUCAGUGAAAUUGAACUCGCUGUGAAGAUGCAGUGUACCCGCGGCAAGACGGAAAGACCCCGUGAACCUUUACUAUAGCUUGACACUGAACAUUGAGCCUUGAUGUGUAGGAUAGGUGGGAGGCUUUGAAGCGUGGACGCCAGUCUGCGUGGAGCCAACCUUGAAAUACCACCCUUUAAUGUUUGAUGUUCUAACGUUGGCCCCUUACCGGGGUUGCGGACAGUGUCUGGUGGGUAGUUUGACUGGGGCGGUCUCCUCCCAAAGCGUAACGGAGGAGCACGAAGGUUAGCUAAUCCUGGUCGGACAUCAGGAGGUUAGUGCAAUGGCAUAAGCUAGCUUGACUGCGAGCGUGACGGCGCGAGCAGGUGCGAAAGCAGGUCAUAGUGAUCCGGUGGUUCUGAAUGGAAGGGCCAUCGCUCAACGGAUAAAAGGUACUCCGGGGAUAACAGGCUGAUACCGCCCAAGAGUUCAUAUCGACGGCGGUGUUUGGCACCUCGAUGUCGGCUCAUCACAUCCUGGGGCUGAAGUAGGUCCCAAGGGUAUGGCUGUUCGCCAUUUAAAGUGGUACGCGAGCUGGGUUUAGAACGUCGUGAGACAGUUCGGUCCCUAUCUGCCGUGGGCGCUGGAGAAUUGAGGGGGGCUGCUCCUAGUACGAGAGGACCGGAGUGGACGCAUCACUGGUGUUCGGGUUGUCAUGCCAAUGGCACUGCCCGGUAGCUAAAUGCGGAAGAGAUAAGUGCUGAAAGCAUCUAAGCACGAAACUUGCCCCGAGAUGAGUUCUCCCUGAGACUUUAAGUCUCCUGAAGGAACGUUGAAGACGACGACGUUGAUAGGCCGGGUGUGUAAGCGCAGCGAUGCGUUGAGCUAACCGGUACUAAUGAACCGUGAGGCUUAACCUU